GAUGAACGCUGGCGGCGUGCCUAAUACAUGCAAGUCGAGCGAACAGACGAGGAGCUUGCUCCUUUGACGUUAGCGGCGGACGGGUGAGUAACACGUAGGUAACCUACCUAUAAGACUGGGAUAACUUCGGGAAACCGGAGCUAAUACCGGAUAAUAUUUCGAACCGCAUGGUUCGAUAGUGAAAGAUGGCUUUGCUAUCACUUAUAGAUGGACCUGCGCCGUAUUAGCUAGUUGGUAAGGUAACGGCUUACCAAGGCAACGAUACGUAGCCGACCUGUGAGGGUGAUCGGCCACACUGGAACUGAGACACGGUCCAGACUCCUACGGGAGGCAGCAGUAGGGAAUCUUCCGCAAUGGGCGAAAGCCUGACGGAGCAACGCCGCGUGAGUGAUGAAGGUCUUCGGAUCGUAAAACUCUGUUAUUAGGGAAGAACAAACGUGUAAGUAACUGUGCACGUCUUGACGGUACCUAAUCAGAAAGCCACGGCUAACUACGUG
This 497-nucleotide ribosomal RNA is filed under the name uncultured bacterium. Its description in RNAcentral is "partial 16S ribosomal RNA". It matches the Rfam family "Bacterial small subunit ribosomal RNA", at positions 28 to 507 of the family's 1533-position model. The record is from RNAcentral.